This is a long non-coding RNA of Syngnathoides biaculeatus (alligator pipefish), 2142 nucleotides long. RefSeq lists it as uncharacterized. The transcript is spliced from 2 exons. The record is from RefSeq and is a predicted model, not a curated record. NCBI's taxonomy places the organism in Eukaryota, Metazoa, Chordata, Actinopteri, Syngnathiformes, Syngnathidae.
AGGCUCCGGCACUCCCCGCGACCCUCGUGAGGAUAAGCGGCAGAGAAAAUGGGCGGAUGAAUUAAAAGAGAGAACAAUCAAUUAUUUUAUCCAACUUUUUUCGCCAUUAAUGUGUCACCCUCACUAGGGCCGCGGUGGCGCUGGCUUCGGGCGAGAGGCGGCAAACACCCCGGACUUUGCACCUACGGACAAUUUUGAGUCAUUUGUUGACUGACCCUACAAGUUUCUGGCAUGUGGAAGGAAAAUGGGCGUACCCGAAGACAAACAGGCAGAUAUUCAAACAAGCUUCUUCCCUCUCGCCAUUAAAUUGCCGGGGGACUUUGAAUCAUUUGCGAAAUAUUAAUUUUAUUUGCAUCAACACGUUACCACUACUCUGUCAUUGCUCACUGUAGUGUUCAAUAUUUUUGGGGUCUUUUGGCCGUCUAUUGUCACAUCAGAGCGCCUGCAACUCACUGGAGACAAAUUCCUUGGGCGUUUUUGGCAUACUUAAAAAUUGAGAUAAUUCUGAUUCUGAACAAUGACACACACAAAAAUAAAAAUGACUCAUUUUGCACACAUGGUUAAAAAAAAAAAAAGACAUUUAUAGGGUGGGAGGAGGUUUUGCUUUUUUUUUUUUUUGUUUUUCUCUCUGCCAAGAAAUCCAUCCACACACGCGUCUAUAAUUUGGCCAGCAUGCGCAAAGUUUUCCUGAUAACUACGAGCGUCGAGAGUCGCGGAUUGGUCGAGUUCGGCGAGGCAAAGGUGGCAAAAACCGACGGUGAUGUCAUUCAAUUGGACGCUGAACUUGUCGGAACAAACCAUCUGUUGAAAAUCAAUUGGCCUUAAAGGAACGUGGGACAGCAAUUUCUUUCAAAGUGUGUGGAAAUUCCAGCGCAACCGUUCAUACGCGCGGACGGUACGGCGACAAAAAAAAAAAACAACCAACGACUGUCUAAGAGCUUUCCCUCUCAGAGUUUUCGACUUUUUCUGAUGCACAUUUCCGAUGUUCCGCCGAAGAGCUAUUUUGGGGAUGCAGAACGUAGCAAAACCCCGGAGGGAGCGGCUUUUUUUUUUUUUUUUUUUUUUUUCAUCGUGGCAGCCAUUAAUCCGCCGCCGAAGCGAGGAAAUACCGUAAACGCAUUUCCUAAUCCAAACAGACGCGUAUUAGCAAGUAAUUCAACCGACAGUAUCGUUAAUACUCGUUGAUUUCCUGAUUACGCUCGCGUAGCUUGCAAUUGUUUGAUACGCCUUGCGCGGUGAGUCACGACGCGGGACGACGGCCGUUUGCUUUCCUGGUUUCGUGCGGGCCGGCGGGCACGGCCGAGCGAGACAAACGGUGACGUCGCAGCGGCACACAGGAAACGCUCCCCCCCACCCCUUGCACAUUUGCCGAUGUUUGUUUAAACUGGCCUCUGUGGUACGGCGAACCGCAUCGCGGCAAACAAAAAAAAAAAACGCCUCGCUAGCGACACGCCGGGUCCCCCUCGAGACCCCUCGUGACUCGUCGUCCUCUUAUCGGGAUCAUCUGGACUCUUAAGCGGGGAAAGCGACGGCGUGGCCAUUGGGAGCCCAAAGCAGGAACAUGAGAAAGGAACUCGGGAGAAUGCAGAACCGGCUCAAUCUGUUAACAAAAGGAGGAGACUCCUUCCUGGUGCUCGGAGGACGGAUGACGUGGGAAGUUGAAAAAAAAAAUGGAUUUGAAUGGCAUUGGAGUCCGCGUUUGGACGCAGAGUUCGUCGUGUGACGGCAAACAAUCGCAACGCAUUCUGCAGUCAACGCUUCUUUUGAUCGACGCCCACAUUUAAAGGCUGUUGCCGUGGCAGCCGCCUUCAAUAACAGAUCAGAACAAAGAGAAAGCUCGCACGAUUGUGGAAUUGUCAUUCAUUCUUACGCAAUGAUUUCAUUUUUCUGUUUUGAAAUUAUUUCCUAAUACGUAUUCCCCCCCCCCAUUGUCUUUUAUCCCAGUUUGAAAUGUUGACUUCAGAUUUUUUUUCAAUGGCUAUAUUCUUUUUUUUUUUUAAAUCAUUUUCAAGUUUUUUUCAUGUAUUGUUCGUUGCUAUAUUUUUUUAUUUAAUGUUUUGCCAUAUUAAACACUUUCAUCAGCUGUAUUAUUCUUAAAAAUUCUUAAUAAUAAAGCUGAACUGGAUUGUGCUAACUUCCGUA